AGAGGAAUUGCCGAGUCAUAUCAUAAUACAACUUUUUGAGGGACUGCCAAAACUAUUUUCCAAAUGGCUGUACUAUUUCACAUUUCCAAUGGCAAU
RNAcentral lists this microRNA precursor (96 nucleotides) under Marmota monax (woodchuck). The record is from RNAcentral. Lineage: Eukaryota; Metazoa; Chordata; Mammalia; Rodentia; Sciuridae.